GUCGUACGCUUCUUUUUCCCCGGAGCUUGCUCCACCGGAAAAAGAAGAGUGGCGAACGGGUGAGUAACACGUGGGUAACCUGCCCAUCAGAAGGGGAUAACACUUGGAAACAGGUGCUAAUACCGUAUAACAAUCGAAACCGCAUGGUUUUGAUUUGAAAGGCGCUUUCGGGUGUCGCUGAUGGAUGGACCCGCGGUGCAUUAGCUAGUUGGUGAGGUAACGGCUCACCAAGGCUACGAUGCAUAGCCGACCUGAGAGGGUGAUCGGCCACAUUGGGACUGAGACACGGCCCAAACUCCUACGGGAGGCAGCAGUAGGGAAUCUUCGGCAAUGGACGAAAGUCUGACCGAGCAACGCCGCGUGAGUGAAGAAGGUUUUCGGAUCGUAAAACUCUGUUGUUAGAGAAGAACAAGGAUGAGAGUAACUGUUCAUCCCUUGACGGUAUCUAACCAGAAAGCCACGGCUAACUACGUGCCAGCAGCCGCGGUAAUACGUAGGUGGCAAGCGUUGUCCGGAUUUAUUGGGCGUAAAGCGAGCGCAGGCGGUUUCUUAAGUCUGAUGUGAAAGCCCCCGGCUCAACCGGGGAGGGUCAUUGGAAACUGGGAGACUUGAGUGCAGAAGAGGAGAGUGGAAUUCCAUGUGUAGCGGUGAAAUGCGUAGAUAUAUGGAGGAACACCAGUGGCGAAGGCGGCUCUCUGGUCUGUAACUGACGCUGAGGCUCGAAAGCGUGGGGAGCAAACAGGAUUAGAUACCCUGGUAGUCCACGCCGUAAACGAUGAGUGCUAAGUGUUGGAGGGUUUCCGCCCUUCAGUGCUGCAGCUAACGCAUUAAGCACUCCGCCUGGGGAGUACGACCGCAAGGUUGAAACUCAAAGGAAUUGACGGGGGCCCGCACAAGCGGUGGAGCAUGUGGUUUAAUUCGAAGCAACGCGAAGAACCUUACCAGGUCUUGACAUCCUUUGACCACUCUAGAGAUAGAGCUUCCCCUUCGGGGGCAAAGUGACAGGUGGUGCAUGGUUGUCGUCAGCUCGUGUCGUGAGAUGUUGGGUUAAGUCCCGCAACGAGCGCAACCCUUAUUGUUAGUUGCCAUCAUUCAGUUGGGCACUCUAGCAAGACUGCCGGUGACAAACCGGAGGAAGGUGGGGAUGACGUCAAAUCAUCAUGCCCCUUAUGACCUGGGCUACACACGUGCUACAAUGGGAAGUACAACGAGUCGCGAAGUCGCGAGGCUAAGCUAAUCUCUUAAAGCUUCUCUCAGUUCGGAUUGUAGGCUGCAACUCGCCUACAUGAAGCCGGAAUCGCUAGUAAUCGCGGAUCAGCACGCCGCGGUGAAUACGUUCCCGGGCCUUGUACACACCGCCCGUCACACCACGAGAGUUUGUAACACCCGAAGUCGGUGA
This 1399-nucleotide ribosomal RNA is filed under the name Enterococcus durans. RNAcentral's name for it is "bacterial SSU rRNA". It matches the Rfam family "Bacterial small subunit ribosomal RNA", at positions 61 to 1433 of the family's 1533-position model. Lineage: Bacteria; Bacillati; Bacillota; Bacilli; Lactobacillales; Enterococcaceae. The record is from RNAcentral.